This 406-nucleotide ribosomal RNA is filed under the name uncultured bacterium. Its description in RNAcentral is "partial 16S ribosomal RNA". It matches the Rfam family "Bacterial small subunit ribosomal RNA", at positions 30 to 526 of the family's 1533-position model. The record is from RNAcentral.
AUUGAACGCUGGCGGCAGGCCUAACACAUGCAAGUCGAACGAGCGGCGGACGGGUGAGUAAUGUAUGGGAAACUGCCUGAUGGAGGGGGAUAACUACUGGAACCGGUAGCUAAUACCGCAUACCAUCGGAUGUGCCCAGGUGGGAUUAGCUAGUAGGUGGGGUAAAGGCUCACCUAGGCGACGAUCCCUAGCUGGUCUGAGAGGAUUACCAGCCAAACGGGAACUGAGACACGGUCCAGACUCCUACGGGAGGCAGCAGUGGGGAAUAUUGCACAAUGGGCGAAAGCCUGAUGCAGCCAUGCCGCGUGUGUGAAGAAGGCCUUCGGGUUGUAAAGUACUUUCAGCGGGGAGGCGUUACCCGCAGAAGAAGCACCGGCUAACUCCGUGCCAGCAGCCGCGGUAAUAC